This 671-nucleotide ribosomal RNA is filed under the name uncultured Gammaproteobacteria bacterium. RNAcentral describes it as "bacterial SSU rRNA". It matches the Rfam family "Bacterial small subunit ribosomal RNA", at positions 89 to 793 of the family's 1533-position model. Lineage: Bacteria; Pseudomonadati; Pseudomonadota; Gammaproteobacteria. The record is from RNAcentral.
AGUAGAGUGGCGGACGGCUGUGUAACGCGUGGGAAUCUACCCAGUAGUGGGGGACAACUACCGGAAACGGUAGCUAAUACCGCAUACGCCCUAUGGGGGAAAGGCUUCGGCCGCUAUUGGAUGAGCCCGCGUCAGAUUAGCUAGUUGGUAGGGUAAAGGCCUACCAAGGCAACGAUCUGUAGCUGGUCUGAGAGGACGAACAGCCACACUGGGACUGAGACACGGCCCAGACUCCUACGGGAGGCAGCAGUGGGGAAUAUUGGACAAUGGGCGAAAGCCUGAUCCAGCAAUGCCGCGUGUGUGAAGAAGGCCUGCGGGUUGUAAAGCACUUUCAGUUGGGAAGAUGAUGACGUUACCAACAGAAGAAGCACCGGCUAAAUCCGUGCCAGCAGCCGCGGUAAUACGGAUGGUGCGAGCGUUAAUCGGAAUUACUGGGCGUAAAGCGCGCGUAGGCGGCUAAGUCAGUCAGAAGUGAAAGCCCCGGGCUCAACCUGGGAAUUGCUUUUGAUACUGCUUAGCUAGAGUUUGGUAGAGGAUAGUGGAAUUCCAGGUGUAGAGGUGAAAUUCGUAGAUAUUUGGAGGAACACCAGUGGCGAAGGCGGCUCACUGGCUCGAUACUGACGCUGAGGUGCGAAAGUGUGGGGAGCAAACAGGAUUAGAUACCCUGGUAG